GACAGAGGGGGCAAGCGUUGCUCGGAAUUACUGGGCGUAAAGGGCGCGUAGGCGGGGUGGCAAGUCGGUCGUGAAAUCCCUCGGCUCAACCGAGGAACGUCGAUCGAUACUGCUGUUCUUGAGGAUUGCAGAGGAGACUGGAAUUCCCGGUGUAGCGGUGAAAUGUGUAGAGAUCGGGAGGAACACCGGUGGCGAAGGCGGGUCCCUGGGCAAUUCCUGACGCUGAGGCGCGAAAGCGUGGGGAGCAAACGGG
Molecule: ribosomal RNA, 253 nt
Filed under: uncultured bacterium
Lineage: Bacteria
Description: partial 16S ribosomal RNA
Rfam family: Bacterial small subunit ribosomal RNA
Source: RNAcentral